This 323-nucleotide ribosomal RNA is filed under the name uncultured bacterium. Its description in RNAcentral is "bacterial SSU rRNA". It matches the Rfam family "Bacterial small subunit ribosomal RNA", at positions 29 to 334 of the family's 1533-position model. The record is from RNAcentral.
AACGAACGCUGGCGGCGUGCCUAACACAUGCAAGUCGUGCGAGAAAGUUCCUUCGGGAGCGAGUAAAGCGGCGCACGGGUGAGUAACACGUAGGUAACCUGCCCCCCAGUCUGGAACAACUAGAGGAAACUCUAGCUAAUGCCGGAUGAGACCACGAUCCCUUCGGGGGUUGCGGCCAAAGAUGGCCUCUACUUGUAAGCUAUCGCUGAGGGAUGGGCCUGCGGGCCAUUAGCUUGUUGGUGAGGUAACGGCUCACCAAGGCUGUGAUGGCUAGCUGGUCUGAGGGGAUGACCAGCCACACUGGGACUGAGACACGGCCCCAG